Molecule: long non-coding RNA, 475 nt
Filed under: Homo sapiens (human)
Lineage: Eukaryota; Metazoa; Chordata; Mammalia; Primates; Hominidae
Description: HSALNT0342331
Source: RNAcentral
UCUGAAUAGCUGGGACCACAGGUGUGAGCCACUACACCUAGCUAAUUUUUUUUUUGUAUUUUUAGUAGAGACCGCGUUUCGCCAUGUUGGCCAGGCUGGUCUUGAACUCCUGACUUCAAGUGAUCCACUCACCUUGGCCUCCUAAAGUGCUGGGAUUACAGGCAUGAGUCACUGCACCUGGCCUAAAAAUAAUGUAUUUAUUAUUAUUUUAUUUUUUAAAACACAGAGACGGCUGGGUGCAGUGGCUCACUCCUGUAAUCCCAGCACUUUGGGAGGCUGAGGCAGUUGGGUCACCUGAGGUCAGGAGUUCAAGACCAGCCAGGCCAACAUGGUUUAAAAUACAAAAAUUAGCAGGUCGUGGUGGCAUGGGCCUGUAAUCUCAGCUACUCGGGAGGCUGAGGCAGGAGAAUUGAUGGAACCUGGGAAGCGGAGGCUGCAGUGAGCUGAGAUUACACCACUGCACUCCAGCCUGGGC